Long non-coding RNA from Coccinella septempunctata (seven-spotted ladybird), 682 nucleotides. RefSeq lists it as uncharacterized. NCBI's taxonomy places the organism in Eukaryota, Metazoa, Arthropoda, Insecta, Coleoptera, Coccinellidae. The transcript is spliced from 3 exons. The record is from RefSeq and is a predicted model, not a curated record.
UAUUGUUGCCAAGACACAAUUUUCAUGUCAUAAGCUCAAUGAAAGUAUUUUCCAUUCAUUUCAAUGGCACGCCCUUUAUAAUCAAUGAAUUUUUUCCAUGUCGACAAAUUCAAUAACAAUACCGAAAUGAACCUUCCAAGGUUACAGACGACCCGUAUAUUUCUACAACAAUCAAAGAAAAAUAAGAUAAGGUUGAUAUUCGAAAUUAGACGGGAUUGUUUUCAAAACAUCAUACCAAUAGCUCGAUUCAUUGUGAUCGUUAUUGAACUUGAACAAUGCUCGCAAACAAGUUUAUAAAUGAUACUCUCUAGGCACAAGUCAAGAAGAUAGAUCAAGUUUAGACACAAUAAUUAGGCAGGAAGAUAAGAAUUCAGCAUAACCCUGUAAAUAUUUUGAUAUCCGAAAUAAUAGAUAACAAUUUUCGCUGGAUCGAGACAGAAUACGUUGAAACAAAUGGGUGUAUUAUUCCAAAGAGAAGACAGAUCGUUGGGAAUGGGGGAUUCGAUGCCAUAAACCAUUUUAGUUUGGCGAAAAACGUGGGGCCUGUAUUGAAGGUGAUAAUUUAAUAAUCAGUGAACCUUCAACUAGCAUGGUACACUACAAGAAUGAUGAACAACACUUCAUCCAGGAGACAUCCAGUACCAGUACACAAGAUCCUCAUACAUCACCAAAUUCAAGUAGA